GACGAACGCUGGCGGCGUGCCUAAUACAUGCAAGUUGAGCGCUGAAGGUUGGUACUUGUACCAACUUGAUGAGCAGCGAACGGGUGAGUAACGCGUGGGGAAUCUGCCUUUGAGCGGGGGACAACAUUUGGAAACGAAUGCUAAUACCGCAUAAAAACUUUAAACACAAGUUUUAAGUUUGAAAGAUGCAAUUGCAUCACUCAAAGAUGAUCCCGCGUUGUAUUAGCUAGUUGGUGAGGUAAAGGCUCACCAAGGCGAUGAUACAUAGCCGACCUGAGAGGGUGAUCGGCCACAUUGGGACUGAGACACGGCCCAAACGCCUACGGGAGGCAGCAGUAGGGAAUAGGCGGCAAGGGACGAAAGACUGAGCGAGCAAGGCAGCGUGAGUGAAGAAGGUUGUCGGAUCGUAAAACUCUGUUGGUAGAGAAGAACGUUGGUGAGAGUGGAAAGCACAGCAAGUGACGGUAACUACCCAGAAAGGAACGGCUAACUACGUG
RNAcentral lists this ribosomal RNA (497 nucleotides) under uncultured bacterium. Its description in RNAcentral is "partial 16S ribosomal RNA". It matches the Rfam family "Bacterial small subunit ribosomal RNA", at positions 28 to 507 of the family's 1533-position model. The record is from RNAcentral.